UACGUAGGGGGCGAGCGUUGUCCGGAAUUAUUGGGCGUAAAGAGCUCGUAGGCGGUUUGUCGCGUCGGCCGUGAAAACUGGAGGCUUAACCUCCAGCUUGCGGUCGAUACGGGCAGACUUGAGUUCGGUAGGGGAGACUGGAAUUCCUGGUGUAGCGGUGGAAUGCGCAGAUAUCAGGAGGAACACCGGUGGCGAAGGCGGGUCUCUGGGCCGAUACUGACGCUGAGGAACGAAAGCGUGGGGAGCGAACAGG
This 253-nucleotide unclassified non-coding RNA is filed under the name uncultured Actinomycetes bacterium. Its description in RNAcentral is "uncultured actinobacterium contains 16S-23S intergenic spacer region". It matches the Rfam family "Bacterial small subunit ribosomal RNA", at positions 524 to 776 of the family's 1533-position model. Lineage: Bacteria; Bacillati; Actinomycetota; Actinomycetes. The record is from RNAcentral.